CCUACGGGUGGCAGCAGUCGAGAAUCAUUCACAAUGGGGGAAACCCUGAUGGUGCGACGCCGCGUGGGGGAAUGAAGGUCUUCGGAUUGUAAACCCCUGUCAUGUGGGAGCAAAUUAAAAAGAUAGUACCACAAUAGGAAGAGACUGCUAACUCUGUGCCGGCAGCCGCGGUAAUACAGAGGUCUCAAGCGUUGUUCGGAAUCACUGGGCGUAAAGCGUGCGUAGGCUGUUUCGUAAGUCGUGUGUGAAAGGCGCGGGCUCAACCCGCGGACGGCACAUGAUACUGCGAGACUAGAGUAAGGGAGGGGGAACCGGAAUGCUCGGUGUAGCAGUGAAAUGCGUAGAUAUCGAGAGGAACACUCGUGGCGAAGGCGGGUUCCUGGACAUUAACGGACGCUGAGGCACGAAGGCCAGGGGAGCGAAAGGGAUUAGAUACCCCAGUAGUC
This 446-nucleotide ribosomal RNA is filed under the name uncultured bacterium. RNAcentral describes it as "partial 16S ribosomal RNA". It matches the Rfam family "Bacterial small subunit ribosomal RNA", at positions 338 to 795 of the family's 1533-position model. The record is from RNAcentral.